RNAcentral lists this transfer RNA (73 nucleotides) under Perkinsus olseni. Its description in RNAcentral is "tRNA-Pro". It matches the Rfam family "tRNA". Rfam says of the family: Transfer RNA (tRNA) molecules are approximately 80 nucleotides in length. Their secondary structure includes four short double-helical elements and three loops (D, anti-codon, and T loops). The record is from RNAcentral. Lineage: Eukaryota; Perkinsozoa; Perkinsida; Perkinsidae.
GGGUGUGUGGUCUAGUGGUAAGAUUCUCGCUUAGGGUGCGGGAGGUCUCGAGUGCGAUUCUCGACUCAGCCCA